This 76-nucleotide transfer RNA is filed under the name bacterium. RNAcentral describes it as "tRNA-Thr". It matches the Rfam family "tRNA". From Rfam's summary of the family: Transfer RNA (tRNA) molecules are approximately 80 nucleotides in length. Their secondary structure includes four short double-helical elements and three loops (D, anti-codon, and T loops). The record is from RNAcentral.
GCCGCGGUAGCUCAGUUGGUAGAGCGCAUCCAUGGUAAGGAUGAGGUCAUCGGUUCAAUCCCGAUUGACGGCUCCA